UGAUGUGUGGUGCGCGACGUGGUGCGGUGCUCGGGACGGUCGAGAGCAGACGACGCUGAGUGCACGCGCGCCGAGGUGGAAGAAGGAAAACAACGACGACGAAGAGCGCCCGGCACGAGAACGCGCGGCGCAGGAAAGACAACAAAAAGAAAAAAAGCAACCAAUCAAGAAAGACCACGGAGCGUCGGGCAGCCAAUCCGAAAAUGCCAAAUCGGCCAGACCAAAAGAAAAAGCGUGGUGCGCUGGCAGAACGGGGGCGACACGCAAGAGGACACGCAGGGAGACGCCGGGCAGACGCCAGGAGAGUCCCAGGAAACGACGGCAGGAGGAGCUCAACCACCGGAGCGGGCGUUGAAGACGGGCCGUCGGGUUCCGGACCCGAGCCCACCAGGACUUCACCCGACCGGGGCCUCCUGCCAACCUGUUCCUGUGCGUCGCCCGUCUACCUGAGCGUGCCGUCAGCUCCUCAACGCCGGUGAGCUUUUGCGCCAGUGGGCAGGACGAGAACAGUCGGGCUUCGGGCCCGAGUUCUACGCCAGCUGCCCGGCCAGAACGCCACCCCCGUCUGCCGUGCCACCUGCUGCCCGAGGCCGGCGUUCGAGCUUCCGCGCCGUGGGCGAGAGGGGAGCAGUCGGGCUACGGGCCCGAGCUCUCUGCCCGGCCAGAACGCCGCCGCCGUCCACUCCUGCCACCCAGCCGCCAGCGUUACCUCACCUCGCCAGAGCUGGCGCGCUCCCGGCGCCCAGUCGGUCAGCUUACGCCGCGACCUUUGGUGAGACCGGCGCCACUCCUUCUGCCAGCUUCUCACCGCGUUGCCGCGUCGAGACUGCGACGCGUCCCCGCCCUCGUGGCAAGCCCAGACUCGCGCCCUCGUUAAAGCCCUAACUGACCUUCACCGUGUGUGCCAACCGCGCGCAUGGUUGCCCCGCCGUUCUCCCGAUGGACGCAGUCACGGACCAUGAAACAGCAUGUCCUUUCAGUAUCCUACGCUGCGUCCAUCGGAGAACAUGUGGCUACAUAUCAACGGUGGCGGACAUGGCGGCACACCUUAUCAGCGCACACGGUUGCCCGUAUUUUUAUCUCGCAGGUAAGUCAGUAUACCAAGAAAGGAAGUGCGAAGUGUAUUCCAAUGUAAUAAUCAUAGGUCAUUACUUGCACUGAAUGUCGCCGUAACAUCGACAUGAAAACUUGCCUUUGUAGUGUGCAGAUAGCCGUAACAGCCGUAUGGAACUACCGUGCACAGGGGCCAGUCAGAAUACGGAAGCAUGAUACAUUCAUUUUAUCCUUUACUCAGAAAGUAAAAUAUAAAUUAUGGGGUUUUA
Dermacentor andersoni is the source of this 1322-nucleotide long non-coding RNA. RefSeq lists it as uncharacterized. NCBI's taxonomy places the organism in Eukaryota, Metazoa, Arthropoda, Arachnida, Ixodida, Ixodidae. The record is from RefSeq and is a predicted model, not a curated record.